AAAUUGAAGAGUUUGAUCAUGGCUCAGAUUGAACGCUGGCGGCAGGCCUAACACAUGCAAGUCGAACGGUAACAGAAAGCAGCUUGCUGCUUUGCUGACGAGUGGCGGACGGGUGAGUAAUGUCUGGGAAACUGCCUGAUGGAGGGGGAUAACUACUGGAAACGGUGGCUAAUACCGCAUAACGUCGCAAGACCAAAGAGGGGGACCUUCGGGCCUCUUGCCAUCAGAUGUGCCCAGAUGGGAUUAGCUUGUUGGUGAGGUAACGGCUCACCAAGGCGACGAUCCCUAGCUGGUCUGAGAGGAUGACCAGCCACACUGGAACUGAGACACGGUCCAGACUCCUACGGGAGGCAGCAGUGGGGAAUAUUGCACAAUGGGCGCAAGCCUGAUGCAGCCAUGCCGCGUGUAUGAAGAAGGCCUUCGGGUUGUAAAGUACUUUCAGCGGGGAGGAAGGUGUUGUGGUUAAUAACCGCAGCAAUUGACGUUACCCGCAGAAGAAGCACCGGCUAACUCCGUGCCAGCAGCCGCGGUAAUACGGAGGGUGCAAGCGUUAAUCGGAAUUACUGGGCGUAAAGCGCACGCAGGCGGUCUGUCAAGUCGGAUGUGAAAUCCCCGGGCUCAACCUGGGAACUGCAUUCGAAACUGGCAGGCUUGAGUCUUGUAGAGGGGGGUAGAAUUCCAGGUGUAGCGGUGAAAUGCGUAGAGAUCUGGAGGAAUACCGGUGGCGAAGGCGGCCCCCUGGACAAAGACUGACGCUCAGGUGCGAAAGCGUGGGGAGCAAACAGGAUUAGAUACCCUGGUAGUCCACGCCGUAAACGAUGUCUACUUGGAGGUUGUGCCCUUGAGGCGUGGCUUCCGGAGCUAACGCGUUAAGUAGACCGCCUGGGGAGUACGGCCGCAAGGUUAAAACUCAAAUGAAUUGACGGGGGCCCGCACAAGCGGUGGAGCAUGUGGUUUAAUUCGAUGCAACGCGAAGAACCUUACCUGGUCUUGACAUCCACGGAAGUUUUCAGAGAUGAGAAUGUGCCUUCGGGAACCGUGAGACAGGUGCUGCAUGGCUGUCGUCAGCUCGUGUUGUGAAAUGUUGGGUUAAGUCCCGCAACGAGCGCAACCCUUAUCCUUUGUUGCCAGCGGUUAGGCCGGGAACUCAAAGGAGACUGCCAGUGAUAAACUGGAGGAAGGUGGGGAUGACGUCAAGUCAUCAUGGCCCUUACGACCAGGGCUACACACGUGCUACAAUGGCGCAUACAAAGAGAAGCGACCUCGCGAGAGCAAGCGGACCUCAUAAAGUGCGUCGUAGUCCGGAUUGGAGUCUGCAACUCGACUCCAUGAAGUCGGAAUCGCUAGUAAUCGUGGAUCAGAAUGCCACGGUGAAUACGUUCCCGGGCCUUGUACACACCGCCCGUCACACCAUGGGAGUGGGUUGCAAAAGAAGUAGGUAGCUUAACCUUCGGGAGGGCGCUUACCACUUUGUGAUUCAUGACUGGGGUGAAGUCGUAACAAGGUAACCGUAGGGGAACCUGCGGUUGGAUCACCUCCUUACCUUAAAGAA
Molecule: ribosomal RNA, 1552 nt
Filed under: Salmonella enterica subsp. enterica serovar Senftenberg
Lineage: Bacteria; Pseudomonadati; Pseudomonadota; Gammaproteobacteria; Enterobacterales; Enterobacteriaceae
Description: bacterial SSU rRNA
Rfam family: Bacterial small subunit ribosomal RNA
Source: RNAcentral